UGAAGAGUUUGAUCCUAGCUCAGAGUGAACGCUAGCGGUGCGCCUAACACAUGCAAGUCGAGUGGGUUUAGACCCACGGCAGACGGCUGAGUAACACGUUGGUACCUACCCCGAACUCAGGGAUAACCCCGCGAAAGCGGGACUAAUACCGGAUGGUCCCCGCACCUUUUUGUCCUUUGUUACAAUGAAUUCAUGCACUUCGUCUAUCUUCUAUACAGCGAAUCUUCCGAUCGAUUCUAUGUCGGCUCAACGAGUGAUCUUGGGCAGAGAUUACAAUCUCAUAACGACAAGAGGAACAAGUCCACAGUUUAUGGUGCGCCAUGGAAAUUGGUGUACUACGAAGCAUAUGGGAAUCGAUUGGCAGCCCUCGAUCGUGAACGUAAAUUAAAGAAUCACGGAAAAGGUAUUGCUGAAUUGAAGAAGCGAAUUGCAAUCAGAGAGCAAAAAGGUGCGGGGUAAAGAUUUUUCGGUUCGGGAGGGGCCUGCGGCCUAUCAGAUAGUUGGUGAGGUAAUGGCUUACCAAGUCGAUGACGGGUAGCUGGUUUGAGAGAACGACCAGCCAGAAUGGAACUGAGACACGGUCCAUACUCCUACGGGAGGCAGCAGUGAGGAAUCUUCCGCAAUGGGCGAAAGCCUGACGGAGCGACACCGCGUGAAGGAUGAAGCCAUUUUUUGGUGUAAACUUCUGUUGUGAGGGAAGAAAUUUUUGACGGUACCUCACGAGAAAGCAUCGGCUAAUUCUGUGCCAGCAGCCGCGGUAAGACAGAAGAUGCAAGCGUUACUCGGAAUUACUGGGCGUAAAGGGUCCGCAGGUGACUUGUCACGUCUGGGGUUAAAGCACGUCGCUCAACGGCGUGUAUGUCCCGGAAACGAACAGGAUAGAGCCAUUCAGAGGUAUCUGGAAUGCUGUGUGUAGGGGUAAAAUCCGUUGAUCCACAGUGGAACGCCAAAAGCGAAAGCAGGAUACUGGGAAUGUGCUGACACUCAGGGACGAAAGCGUGGGGAGCAAACGGGAUUAGAUACCCCGGUAGUCCACGCCCUAAACGAUGCGUGCCCGGUGUAGGAACUUCAAUCAGUUCCUGUGCCUCAAGCUAACGCGGUAAGCACGCCGCCUGGGAAGUACGGUCGCAAGACUAAAACUCAAAGGAAUAGACGGGGACCCACACAAGCGGUGGAGCAUGGGGUUUAAUUCGAUACUAAGCGAAGAACCUCACCCAGGCUUGACAUCUCGGGAAGGUCUAAGAAAUUAGACUGUGCCGCAAGGAACCCGAAGACAGGCGCUGCACGGUCGUCGUCAGCUCGUGCCUUGAGGUGUACUGUUAAGUCAGCGAACGAGCGCAACCCUCAUCCUCUGUUGUAUUUUCAGGGGAGACUGCCGCCUCCAAGGCGGAGGAAGGUGAGGAUGACGUCAGAUCAGCGUGGCCUUUAUGCUUGGGGCGACACCCGUGCUACAAUGGCCGGUACAAACCGCAGCAAACCCGCGAGGGGGAGCCAAUCGGAAAAAGCCGGUCUCAGUUCGGAUUGAAGUCUGCAACCCGACUUCAUGAAGCCGGAAUCGCUAGUAACCGUGAAUCAGCCAUGUCACGGUGAAUAUGUUCCUGGGUCUUGUACUCACCGCCCGUCAACUCAUGGAAGGUAGGAGCACCCGAAGGGCCGUUACGCGCAAGCGGCGGUACCACGGUGAAACUACUGACUGGGAGUAAGUCGUAACAAGGUAUCCGUAGGAGAACCUGCGGAUGGAACAUUUCCUUA
This 1752-nucleotide ribosomal RNA is filed under the name Candidatus Peribacteria bacterium RIFCSPHIGHO2_02_FULL_53_20. RNAcentral describes it as "bacterial SSU rRNA". It matches the Rfam family "Bacterial small subunit ribosomal RNA". Lineage: Bacteria; Candidatus Peregrinibacteriota; Candidatus Peribacteria. The record is from RNAcentral.